AACACGUGAGCAACCUGCCCCUGACUCUGGGAUAAGCGCUGGAAACGGCGUCUAAUACUGGAUAUGUCCCGUCACCGCAUGGUGUGCGGGUGGAAAGAUUUUUCGGUUGGGGAUGGGCUCGCGGCCUAUCAGCUUGUUGGUGAGGUAAUGGCUCACCAAGGCGUCGACGGGUAGCCGGCCUGAGAGGGUGACCGGCCACACUGGGACUGAGACACGGCCCAGACUCCUACGGGAGGCAGCAGUGGGGAAUAUUGCACAAUGGGCGGAAGCCUGAUGCAGCAACGCCGCGUGAGGGAUGACGGCCUUCGGGUUGUAAACCUCUUUUAGCAGGGAAGAAGCGAAAGUGACGGUACCUGCAGAAAAAGCACCGGCUAACUACGUGCCAGCAGCCGCGGUAAUACGUAGGGUGCAAGCGUUAUCCGGAAUUAUUGGGCGUAAAGAGCUCGUAGGCGGUCUGUCGCGUCUGCUGUGAAAUUCCGAGGCUCAACCUCGGGCUUGCAGUGGGUACGGGCAGACUAGAGUGCGGUAGGGGAGAUUGGAAUUCCUGGUGUAGCGGUGGAAUGCGCAGAUAUCAGGAGGAACACCGAUGGCGAAGGCAGAUCUCUGGGCCGUAACUGACGCUGAGGAGCGAAAGGGUGGGGAGCAAACAGGCUUAGAUACCCUGGUAGUCCACCCCGUAAACGUUGGGAACUAGUUGUGGGGUCCUUUCCACGGAUUCCGUGACGCAGCUAACGCAUUAAGUUCCCCGCCUGGGGAGUACGGCCGCAAGGCUAAAACUCAAAGGAAUUGACGGGGACCCGCACAAGCGGCGGAGCAUGCGGAUUAAUUCGAUGCAACGCGAAGAACCUUACCAAGGCUUGACAUACACGAGAACGGGCCAGAAAUGGUCAACUCUUUGGACACUCGUGAACAGGUGGUGCAUGGUUGUCGUCAGCUCGUGUCGUGAGAUGUUGGGUUAAGUCCCGCAACGAGCGCAACCCUCGUUCUAUGUUGCCAGCACGUAAUGGUGGGAACUCAUGGGAUACUGCCGGGGUCAACUCGGAGGAAGGUGGGGAUGACGUCAAAUCAUCAUGCCCCUUAUGUCUUGGGCUUCACGCAUGCUACAAUGGCCGGUACAAUGGGCUGCGAUACCGUAAGGUGGAGCGAAUCCCAAAAAGCCGGUCCCAGUUCGGAUUGAGGUCUGCAACUCGACCUCAUGAAGUCGGAGUCGCUAGUAAUCGCAGAUCAGCAACGCUGCGGUGAAUACGUUCCCGGGUCUUGUACACACCGCCCGUCAAGUCAUGAAAGUCGGUAACACCUGAAGCC
This 1305-nucleotide ribosomal RNA is filed under the name Microbacterium esteraromaticum. RNAcentral's name for it is "bacterial SSU rRNA". It matches the Rfam family "Bacterial small subunit ribosomal RNA", at positions 112 to 1428 of the family's 1533-position model. The record is from RNAcentral. Lineage: Bacteria; Bacillati; Actinomycetota; Actinomycetes; Micrococcales; Microbacteriaceae.